AUUGAACGCUGGCGGCAGGCCUAACACAUGCAAGUCGAGCGGAUGAAGGGAGCUUGCUCCUGGAUUCAGCGGCGGACGGGUGAGUAAUGCCUAGGAAUCUGCCUGGUAGUGGGGGAUAACGUCCGGAAACGGGCGCUAAUACCGCAUACGUCCUGAGGGAGAAAGUGGGGGAUCUUCGGACCUCACGCUAUCAGAUGAGCCUAGGUCGGGUUAGCUAGUUGGUGGGGUAAAGGCCUACCAAGGCGACGAUCCGUAACUGGUCUGAGAGGAUGAUCAGUCACACUGGAACUGAGACACGGUCCAGACUCCUACGGGAGGCAGCAGUGGGGAAUAUUGGACAAUGGGCGAAAGCCUGAUCCAGCCAUGCCGCGUGUGUGAAGAAGGUCUUCGGAUUGUAAAGCACUUUAAGUUGGGAGGAAGGGCAGUAAGUUAAUACCUUGCUGUUUUGACGUUACCAACAGAAUAAGCACCGGCUAACUUCGUG
This 484-nucleotide ribosomal RNA is filed under the name uncultured bacterium. RNAcentral describes it as "partial 16S ribosomal RNA". It matches the Rfam family "Bacterial small subunit ribosomal RNA", at positions 30 to 507 of the family's 1533-position model. The record is from RNAcentral.